This 406-nucleotide ribosomal RNA is filed under the name Pasteurella multocida. RNAcentral describes it as "partial 23S ribosomal RNA". The record is from RNAcentral. Lineage: Bacteria; Pseudomonadati; Pseudomonadota; Gammaproteobacteria; Pasteurellales; Pasteurellaceae.
AAAGAAAAAAAGAGUGAAAAAAGAGGAAGAGGGAAGAAAAAGGGGAAGUGGAGAAAGUAAAGAGGGGAAGGGGGAGGGGGGAGGGAAGGGGAGGGUGAAAAGAGGAGGGGAGGGGAAAGGGGAUAAUAGGGAAGAAAUGGGGAAAGGAGGGAUGUGGGGAAGGAGAAGGUUAGGGAAGGGGAAAGUUGGAGAUGUUAGUUUAAGGAGGGAGUAGGAAAGGGAAGGAAAAAACGAAAAUAAAUAAAAAAAAGAGAAGUGAUGAAGAGGAACUACGGAGCUGAAGUUACCGAUACGGAGCUACCAGGAAAAGAAACUAAGCGAAAGGCUUUACUAAAGGGUACUGAAAACAGAGAAAGGUGGUAAGGUAGAGAAUACAAAGGAGCUUGAGAGAACUCGGGUGAAGGAA